CCUCGGAAGGCUCCAGUGGCAGUGUGAAGCAGCAGAUCAGCACCAGCUGGGGCAGCUAGACUCUGUAAGGCGGGAGCAUCUCAGCGCAAUGUCGCAGCAGAAGUGCAUUGUGGUCUUCGCUCUGGUCUGCUGCUUUGCCGUCCUGGUUGCACUGAUAUUCUCAGCCGUGGACAUCAUGGGAGAAGAUGAGGACGGA
This is a non-coding RNA of Myodes glareolus (Bank vole), 196 nucleotides long. NCBI's taxonomy places the organism in Eukaryota, Metazoa, Chordata, Mammalia, Rodentia, Cricetidae. The record is from RefSeq and is a predicted model, not a curated record.